Long non-coding RNA from Pan troglodytes (chimpanzee), 2054 nucleotides. RefSeq lists it as uncharacterized. NCBI's taxonomy places the organism in Eukaryota, Metazoa, Chordata, Mammalia, Primates, Hominidae. The record is from RefSeq and is a predicted model, not a curated record. The transcript has 3 exons.
GGACUUCCGGCCUCCCUGCUCCCACAAAAUGGUAGCCGCCGUGGGGGAUGUCCAGUUUUUUUUUCCUCUUCCCAAGUACAGACGCAGAGCGGGCUUGUCUUUCCGCUUAACCUCAACCUCGUGUGAUCUGCCAGUUUCGCUCCCGGUUAGCCCAGGACUUUUUAUAGCAUAGAAUUUUAAAGCAAGGGCUUAGAAUCAGACCUGGGUCAAAAUCCUGCCUUCCACCUUCACCAAGACCCCAAAUUCCAGCGAAACAGCUGAUGCCAGCCAGCUUGAAGACCCCUGCCACAGAAGAAGGGAAUCAGCAUGAGAAUACAGCUUCAUCUCCCUGUCCCAUGACUUCGCCCUGUACUCUUCAGCCAAUUAAUGAUCUCCACACUUGGGACCACUCCAAAACCCUUAAGAACCUGAGCCUCAAAGUCCUCCUGGAGACGAAUUUGAGGUUUCCUACUAUCUGUGUUUGGUGGCCCUAUGAUUAAACCUCUUUCUCUUCUGCAACCUGGUGUCCCAGUGUAUUAACUUGCCAUGGGCAUCAGACAACAAACCUAUAUAUAGUAUCCCAAAUAUGGUGCUCCACUUUGAAACCUGAAGAAAUCCUGCAAUUGAGUUAGCCUUUUGAAAUAAAAAUUAUUUCAAAUUUAAAAAUAUUUAUAUAUGUUCCCACUUAAGAUAUCCACAAACAUUUGUAUACAACCUUUUAUCUUGCUUUGCUUCUUAAACAUUUCUGUAUGGCAAUUUCCGUGUCUUCCUAUCAUCUCGGCCAUCUUAGUGCAAAGAUACAAAAUUGUGUGGCUUAUUAAGAAAAAUUACAGUAAGCUAAGAGUAGGUUAAAGGAUCUGAAACUUAGCAGGAAAAAAUGAGCAGAAAUUAAAGCUAUAAAAGGCAUGGAUCCUGCUCCAGUUCUCUUUGCAUCUCCUUUGUUCUCUGUCUUCCUCACUUUUAACUGCCUUCUUUGUUUCCCUUGAACCUGACUACUUAAAAAAAAAAUUGAAUAUCUAAAUUAUCUCAAGGCUAAAAGGAUUUUUGUUUAGGACGUAUGAAGAUUAAUUCAAUUAAAUAAAUACUUAUUGAGCAUUGACUAUCAGGGGAAUACUGGAAGACAGGCCUGCAGAGGAACAUGUCAGAAUGAUCACACUAUUUGUGGGUGUAUAAUCUGGAAGCUGUACCAUGAUUAGUUGAAAGAGAGACUGAAGGCAAGAAAAACAGUGUGGUGACUUGGAGAAGAACCAAGACAUAAGGAAAUGAAGACCUACUCUUGGGUGAUGACAGUAAAAAGAAUGGAAUAGGCCUGAGAGACAGGAAAAGGGAGAACUGAUGAGACUCAGUUACUGAUAGGGCUAAAGAGGAGGAAGGACAGGGCGAGGUGGCUCACGCCUGUAAUCCCAGCACUUUGGGAGGCAAGGCAGCACUUUUGAGCCCAGUAAUUCAAGACCAGCCUGAGCAACAUGACAAAACCCCAUCUCUACAAAAAAUACAAAAAUUAGGCCGGGCGCAGUGGCCCAGGCCUGUAAUCCCAGCACUUUGGGAGGCCGAACCGGGUGGAUCACCUGAGGUCAGGAGUUCAAGACCAGCCUGGCCAACAUGGUGAAACCCCAUCUCUACUAAAAAUACAAAAAUUAGCCGGGCGUGGUGGUGUGCACCUGUAAUCCCAGCUACUUGGGAGGCUGAGACAAGAGAAUCGCUUGAACCCGGGAGGCAGAAGUUGCAGUGAGCUGAGAUUGUGCCAUUGCACUCCAGCCUGGUGACAGAGCAAAACUUGGUCUUUAAAAAAAAAAAAAAAAUUAGUGGGGUGUGGUGGCACACACCUGUGGUUCCAGCAACCCAGGCAGCUGAGAUGAGAAGAUUGCUUGAGCCCAGGAGGCGAAGGCUGCAGUGAGCCGAGAUCGCACCACUGCACUCCACUCAGAGCAACAGAGUGAGACCCCGUCUGAAAACGACCAAAAAAAAAAAAAAAAAAAAAAAAAGAGAGAGAAGGAAGGAUUUAACAAGCUUAUGUAUUUCCUCAUCCAUUAAAAUAAAGAAAUUGAGCUAGAGAGCUUCUAGUAUCCUGUCCA